RNAcentral lists this ribosomal RNA (398 nucleotides) under uncultured microorganism. RNAcentral describes it as "bacterial SSU rRNA". It matches the Rfam family "Archaeal small subunit ribosomal RNA", at positions 330 to 735 of the family's 1478-position model. The record is from RNAcentral.
GUGCAGCAGGCGAGAAACUUUACAAUGUGCGAAAGCACGAUAAGGGAACUCUGAGUGCCUCCUAAGGAGGCUGUUCAGGUGUCUAAAAGCACCUGAAGGAAGGGCCGGGUAAGACCGGUGCCAGCCGCCGCGGUAACACCGGCAGCCCAAGUGGUAGCCACGUUUAUUGGGUCUAAAGCGUCCGUAGCCGGCUGGGUAAGUUCCUUGGGAAAUUUGGCUGCUUAACAGUCAAGCUUUCAGGGAAUACUGCCCGGCUUGGGACCGGGAGAGGUCAGAGGUACUCCAGGGGUAGGGGUGAAAUCCAUUAAUCCUUGGGGGACCACCGGUAGCGAAGGCGUCUGACCAGACCGGGUCCGACGGUGAGGGACGAAGGCUAGGGGCGCGAACCGGAUUAGAUA